CUCGAAUAUUCUUGCUCGGUUUGGGACCCCCACACUUCAGAAUCUAUCUCGAAGAUAGAGAUGGUCCAAAGGAGAGCUGCUCGGUAUGCCUGCAACAGGUAUCAUAAUACUAGCAGUGUAUCAAACAUGCUGAACACACUCAACUGGCCUCUUUAACAGAACGCAGACUGCGUGCACGCCUGGUUAAUUAUGAUGUACAAGAUCACACAUUAUCGUUGUUGCUAUACCAUCUAGCACAAUUCUCAUUCCAUCAGUCUAGAGAACCAGAAAACAUCAUUCUCACAGACUCACACCUUCAGACACAUUUGAAUUAUACAUGAAAAGACUAGUACAGAUUUUCAUUUUCCCCAUACACAAUAACUCUAUUCUACUGUUCUAUUCUAUUCUACCAUUUAGUGACCGCCUUCAACAAAUUGAAGAUUAUGUCACAGGAGGAAACUCAGGCGCGC
Molecule: long non-coding RNA, 449 nt
Filed under: Mytilus galloprovincialis (Mediterranean mussel)
Lineage: Eukaryota; Metazoa; Mollusca; Bivalvia; Mytilida; Mytilidae
Source: RNAcentral